AGCUUUGCGCAGUGGCAGUAUCGUAGCCAAUGAGGUUUAUCCGAGGCGCGAUUAUUGCUAAUAAGCAAGCUGGUUACUUUGGUAUGUAGUUUUCUCCAUAAUCAGGUCAUAAGUCAUAGAAAUAGAGUUAGGCAGACAGGGCUUCAAAUUAUGUUCUCAUAUUUAUUAAAUGUGUGAUAUUUGGUAAGACUAGGAUAUUUAGGUUUCAGUAAAAUGA
This 217-nucleotide small nuclear RNA is filed under the name Zalophus californianus (California sea lion). RNAcentral describes it as "U4 spliceosomal RNA (ENSZCAG00015012593.1)". The stretch from base 1 to 64 matches the Rfam family "U4 spliceosomal RNA". The record is from RNAcentral. Lineage: Eukaryota; Metazoa; Chordata; Mammalia; Carnivora; Otariidae.